RNAcentral lists this long non-coding RNA (264 nucleotides) under Manihot esculenta (cassava). Its description in RNAcentral is "long non-coding RNA (MESC_LNC001548)". Lineage: Eukaryota; Viridiplantae; Streptophyta; Magnoliopsida; Malpighiales; Euphorbiaceae. The record is from RNAcentral.
UCUGUGGGAUUUCAUCAAAGCCUCUAUGGCAAUAUACAUUCAGUGUUGAGUUGGUUCACAUAUUCAUCAUAAAAUAAGAUCAUGUACAUGCCAAGGGAUUAACAAAUACUAUGGUCAAGCACAACUCUAUCCUCAAUAACAUAGUUACAUAAACAUAACUGUUUCAAACUUUACAUUACAUUCUUAUCAUUUGUCAUGUCCACAUACUCUAGCUAUUACAUACAUAUGACUUUUCUCUUCUUUUCUUCUCUAUCAAUCCCGUAC